This 553-nucleotide ribosomal RNA is filed under the name uncultured bacterium. RNAcentral's name for it is "bacterial SSU rRNA". It matches the Rfam family "Bacterial small subunit ribosomal RNA", at positions 359 to 916 of the family's 1533-position model. The record is from RNAcentral.
GAAUUGGANAUGGGGGCACCCUGAUCCAGCCAUGCCGCGUGCAGGAUGAAGGCCCUAUGGGUCGUAAACUGCUUUUGUACGGGAAGAAACCUCACUACGUGUAGUGAGUUGACGGUACCGUGAGAAUAAGGAUCGGCUAACUUCGUGCCAGCAGCCGCGGUAAUACGAAGGAUCCAAGCGUUGUCCGGAUUUACUGGGUUUAAAGGGUGCGUAGGCGGACUUUUAAGUCAGUGGUGAAAGCCUGUAGCUUAACUAUAGAAUUGCCAUUGAAACUGAAAGUCUCGAGUGUGGUUGAGGUAACUGGAAUAUAUCAUGUAGCGGUGAAAUGCUUAGAUAUGAUAUAGAACACCAAUUGCGAAGGCAGGUUACUGAGCCAUUACUGACGCUGAGGCACGAAAGCGUGGGGAUCAAACAGGAUUAGAUACCCUGGUAGUCCACGCCGUAAACGUUGCAUACUCGAUCUUAGCGAUACACAGUUAGGAUCCAAGCGAAAGCGUUAAGUAUGCCACCUGGGAAGUACGUUCGCAAGAAUGAAACUCAAAAGAAUUGACGA